This 833-nucleotide ribosomal RNA is filed under the name uncultured bacterium. RNAcentral's name for it is "bacterial SSU rRNA". It matches the Rfam family "Bacterial small subunit ribosomal RNA", at positions 69 to 897 of the family's 1533-position model. The record is from RNAcentral.
CGAUGGGAGCUUGCUCCCAGGCGUCGAGUGGCGGACGGGUGAGUAAUACUUAGGAAUCUACCCAGUAGCGGGGGACAACUCGGGGAAACUCGAGCUAAUACCGCAUACGCUCUACGGAGGAAAGCAGGGGAUCUUCGGACCUUGCACUAUUGGAUGAGCCUAAGUCGGAUUAGCUUGUUGGUGAGGUAAAGGCUCACCAAGGCGACGAUCCGUAGCUGGUCUGAGAGGACGAUCAGCCACACUGGGACUGAGACACGGCCCAGACUCCUACGGGAGGCAGCAGUGGGGAAUAUUGGACAAUGGGGGAAACCCUGAUCCAGCAAUGCCGCGUGUGUGAAGAAGGCCUGCGGGUUGUAAAGCACUUUCAGUAGAGAAGAAAAGCCUAGGGUUAAUACCCCUGAGUCUUGACGUUACCUACAGAAGAAGCUCCGGCUAACUCCGUGCCAGCAGCCGCGGUAAUACGGAGGGAGCGAGCGUUAAUCGGAAUUACUGGGCGUAAAGCGCACGUAGGCGGCUUUGUAAGUCGGAUGUGAAAGCCCCGGGCUUAACCUGGGAAUGGCAUUCGAUACUGCAUAGCUAGAGUAUGGUAGAGGGAAGUGGAAUUUCCGGUGUAGCGGUGAAAUGCGUAGAUAUCGGAAGGAACACCGAUGGCGAAGGCAACUUCCUGGGCCAAUACUGACGCUGAGGUGCGAAAGCGUGGGUAGCAAACAGGAUUAGAUACCCUGGUAGUCCACGCCGUAAACGAUGAGAACUAGAUGUCGGGAGGAUCUGCCUUUCGGUGUCGCAGCUAACGCGUUAAGUUCUCCGCCUGGGGAGUACGCCGGCAACGGUAA